Molecule: ribosomal RNA, 497 nt
Filed under: uncultured bacterium
Lineage: Bacteria
Description: partial 16S ribosomal RNA
Rfam family: Bacterial small subunit ribosomal RNA
Source: RNAcentral
GAUGAACGCUGGCGGCGUGCCUAAUACAUGCAAGUCGAGCGAACGGACGAGAAGCUUGCUUCUCUGAUGUUAGCGGCGGACGGGUGAGUAACACGUGGAUAACCUACCUAUAAGACUGGGAUAACUUCGGGAAACCGGAGCUAAUGCCGGAUAAUAUUUUGAACCGCAUGGUUCAAAAGUGAAAGACGGUCUUGCUGUCACUUAUAGAUGGAUCCGCGCUGCAUUAGCUAGUUGGUAAGGUAACGGCCUACCAAGGCAACGAUGCAUAGCCGACCUGAGAGGGUGAUCGGCCACACUGGAACUGAGACACGGUCCAGACUCCUACGGGGGGCAGCAGUAGGGAAUCUUCCGCAAUGGGCGAAAGCCUGACGGAGCAACGCCGCGUGAGUGAUGAAGGUCUUCGGAUCGUAAAACUCUGUUAUUAGGGAAGAACAUAUGUGUAAGUAACUGUGCACAUCUUGACGGUACCUAAUCAGAAAGCCACGGCUAACUACGUG